Erinaceus europaeus (western European hedgehog) is the source of this 135-nucleotide small nucleolar RNA. Lineage: Eukaryota; Metazoa; Chordata; Mammalia; Eulipotyphla; Erinaceidae. The record is from Ensembl.
GCACUUGAAUCUUUCCUAUUCCUUGCUGCUCAGUGCAGGUAUGAGGACACAUGGUGGUACAACUGGAGCAGAGGAAAUACAGACAGGUGCUUGUCCAUUUGUCUUGGUACUUGUCUUUACCACUCCGCCACACUU